This 260-nucleotide ribosomal RNA is filed under the name uncultured bacterium. RNAcentral describes it as "partial 16S ribosomal RNA". It matches the Rfam family "Bacterial small subunit ribosomal RNA", at positions 98 to 354 of the family's 1533-position model. The record is from RNAcentral.
CGGCACGGGUGAGUAACACGUAUGCAACCUGGCCGUCACAGGUGGAUAACCGGAAGAAAUUCCGACUAAUACAGCAUAACACUCCUGAGGGACAUCCUUCGGGAGUCAAAGGAGGCAACUCCGGUGACGGAUGGGCAUGCGGCGCAUUAGGUAGUUGGUAGGGUAACGGCCUACCAAGCCGACGAUGCGUAGGGGUUCUGAGAGGAAGGUCCCCCACACUGGUACUGAGACACGGACCAGACUCCUACGGGAGGCAGCAG